Molecule: ribosomal RNA, 597 nt
Filed under: Tachycnemis seychellensis
Lineage: Eukaryota; Metazoa; Chordata; Amphibia; Anura; Hyperoliidae
Description: partial 16S ribosomal RNA
Rfam family: Bacterial large subunit ribosomal RNA
Source: RNAcentral
CGCCUGUUUAUCAAAAACAUCGCCUCUUGCUUUACAUAAGAGGUCCCGCCUGCCCUGUGACUUAGUUUAACGGCCGCGGUAUUAUAACCGUGCGAAGGUAGCAUAAUAAAUUGUUCUCUAAAUAAGGACUAGUAUGAAAGGCAUCACGAGGGCUUAACUGUCUCCCUUUUCCAAUCAAUGAAACUGAUCUUCUCGUGAAGAAGCGAGAAUAAAUUUAUAAGACGAGAAGACCCCAUGGAGCUUUAAACUUCUCACCACUUAUUUAUCAUUACACCACUAUAUAUAAUAAAAAUGUUAAUUGAAAGUUUUCGGCUGGGGUGACCCUGGAGAAAAAUAAAUCCUCCAGGAUGAACGGAAUAAAAUCCUAAUCAAAGAGCUACAGCUCUAAGAAUCAAAACACUGACAUCAUUGACCCAACCAUUUGAUCAACGAACCAAGUUACCCUGGGGAUAACAGCGCAAUCCAUUUCAAGAGCCCCUAUCGACAAAUGGGUUUACGACCUCGAUGUUGGAUCGGGGUAUCCCAGUGGCGCAGCCGCUACUAAAGGUUCGUUUGUUCAACGAUUAAUAACCCCACGUGAUCUGAGUUCAGACCGGA